Molecule: long non-coding RNA, 563 nt
Organism: Camellia sinensis
Lineage: Eukaryota; Viridiplantae; Streptophyta; Magnoliopsida; Ericales; Theaceae
Source: RefSeq, a predicted model, not a curated record
UUUUUUCUUUUUUUUUUCCAUCUUUCUUUCUAUUUUCCCUUAAACCAAACACAACCUAUAUUUAGGGUUUUGCAAAUCGCACGCAGCUGGUGCAUGGUUUUAGAGGGUUUAAGGAGAGAACAUCCAUACUCGGCUCCCUCAUCUGAAACUUAGAUCAAAGAACAAUGACAGCAAGAACAAAUGUUAGAUUGCAUUCCUCAAGAGGUGUGGAUUGAUAUCCUCACCAGACUCCCAAUCGAAACUCUCAUUCGAUGCAUCAGCAUAUCCAAAUCAUGGUUGUGGCUGAGUCAAAGGAUCAAAUUGAUGAAAGAGGCAAACUGUGAAGCCCUUCAAAGUACCAUAAUCCAAUAUUUAGCUUUUAGUUGUUUACCUAUCUCUACUUUAUAGAUAUAAUAGCUUUUUUAUGUAGUUAACACUUUACCUAAGUGAAGAUGUAUAUUCUCUAAUGUACUUUUUUGAGCAAUGUGGGUGAUAGUUCUCCCCAAGGAACUGAUUAUGUUUAUCAGGUGACUUCUUUUAUGCAAUUCUUAACGUAUCAAAUUCUCUUCUAUUAUUAUUUUUCA